Molecule: non-coding RNA, 73 nt
Organism: Potamilus streckersoni
Lineage: Eukaryota; Metazoa; Mollusca; Bivalvia; Unionida; Unionidae
Source: the annotation of a GenBank genome assembly
GCUCCAGUGGCCUAGUGGUUAGAGCGCCCGACUCGAAUGCGGGAGGUUGUGGGUUCCACCCCCGGCCGAGUCA